This 450-nucleotide ribosomal RNA is filed under the name uncultured bacterium. RNAcentral describes it as "partial 16S ribosomal RNA". It matches the Rfam family "Bacterial small subunit ribosomal RNA", at positions 29 to 523 of the family's 1533-position model. The record is from RNAcentral.
AACGAACGCUGGCGGCAGGCUUAACACAUGCAAGUCGAACGAGAUCUUCGGAUCUAGUGGCAGACGGGUGAGGAACACGUGGGAACAUCCCUUUCAGUUCGGAAUAACGUUGGGAAACUAACGCUAAUACCGGAUACGUCCUUCGGGAGAAAGAUUUAUCGCUGAAAGAUUGGCCCGCGUCUGAUUAGUUAGUUGGUGAGGUAAGGGCUCACCAAGGCUACGAUCAGUAGCUGAUCUGAGAGGAUGAUCAGCCACAUUGGGACUGAGCACACGGCCCAAACUCCUACGGGAGGCAGCAGUGGGGAAUAUUGGACAAUGGGCGCAAGCCUGAUCCAGCCAUGCCGCGUGAGUGAUGACGGCCUUCGGGUUGUAAAGCUCUUUUGUCCGGGAAGAUAAUGACUGUACCGGAAGAAUAAGCCCCGGCAAACUUCGUGCCAGCCGCCGCCGUAA